CCUUCGCUUCACGGUUCAGGCCGCCAGAGGGGACUUCCCGGGAGCCUUCUGCCGACUGGAAAGCCCGAGGCGCGGAAGGACUGCGAUUGUCCCUGACUGGACAGAGUUCAGUGCUCCGGCGGGGCGGGCGCAGCCUGGCGCCUCCGCCCAGGGGAAGGGUCCUCUGAACCGCCGGGCGCAGCGCAGGUGCGGCGGGGCGGGACGCGCAGGGGCCGAGGGCGGCCUCCCAGGCCCGCCUGGGCGUCGGAGCCCGCUGGGCAGGGAGUGCACUGGAGAGCCCCGAGCCCGGGACAGCCUAGCCAACUCUUGGGCUGAGAGCCCAGACUGGAAGAGCCAGCCAUCCUGACCGUCGCACCGGGGCCUGGAGCCAGGUCUAGGAUAAAGCCCAGAAACCUGCAUUUUUAAGCCUCUGGGAGUUUUGAUAUAGGCAGACUUGGAGAAACAGUGAACUUCUGUGAGGGUAGCUGUUCGUGCUUUCCACAAGCCUGCAUGGGGACCACCCACCACCAGGGGCCUUACAGUACAGACUGCUACCUCCAGCAUGUAACAAGCCACUGAACCGCUCUGUGCCUCAGAUCCUUCAUCUAUAAAAUGGGCCUAAUGAUGCUGCCUACCUAAUAGGGUCUUUGUGAAAAUCAAAGACAGAUAAGCAUCUCUAGCCUAAACUGCCCAAAUUGAAAGGACUAUUUGGACUUGAGAUGGGCAGACCCAAGCAACCCUGGCCAGUCUGCUUGGCAGGGAGAAACCACAUGAGAUUUUUAUUGUGCAAAGCUUCCUUUCACAGAAAGCUGAAAUGUAAGGUAGUUUUUGAAGAGUUGUAAAUGGCUGUUCCAAUUUAGGCAGGGGACACCUCAUCAUCUGAGGCAUUUGAGAGGAGAUAUUCCUGCCAGCAAGUCUGUGGCUUUUACUGAU
Microcebus murinus (gray mouse lemur) is the source of this 912-nucleotide non-coding RNA. NCBI's taxonomy places the organism in Eukaryota, Metazoa, Chordata, Mammalia, Primates, Cheirogaleidae. The record is from RefSeq and is a predicted model, not a curated record.